CCAAGAUUGAAAGCUGGCGUCUUCGGCGUCCGCAUUGUAAUCUCAAGAAGUGUUUUCCGCUUCGGACCAAGCCUAAGUCCCUUGGAAAAGGGCAUCAUAGAGGGUGAUAAUCCCGUACAUGGCUUGGAGCGCCCGAGGCUUUGUGAUACGCUUUCUAAGAGUCGAGUUGUUUGGGAAUGCAGCUCAAAAUGGGUGGUAAAUGCCAUCUAAGGCUAAAUAUUGGGGAGAGACCGAUAGCGAACAAGUACAGUGAUGGAAAGAUGAAAAGAACUUUGAAAAGAGAGUUAAACAGUACGUGAAAUUGCCAAAAGGGAAGGGUAGGAGGUCAGAGAUGCGGCCUGGGAUUCAGCCUUGCUUUUGCUUGGUGUUUUUCCCAGAUUGCAGGCCAACGUCGGUUUUGGGCACUGGAGAAGGGUAGGAGGAACGUGGCACCCCUCGGGGUGUGUUAUAGCCUCCUACUGGAUACAGCGACCGAGACCGAGGACAGCAGCGUACUCGUAAGAGCGGGCCCUCGGGCACCUUUACGCUUAGGGCGUUGGCAUAAUGGCCCUCUACCACCCGUCU
This 564-nucleotide ribosomal RNA is filed under the name Moesziomyces parantarcticus. RNAcentral describes it as "eukaryotic LSU rRNA". It matches the Rfam family "Eukaryotic large subunit ribosomal RNA", at positions 109 to 654 of the family's 3401-position model. The record is from RNAcentral. Lineage: Eukaryota; Fungi; Basidiomycota; Ustilaginomycetes; Ustilaginales; Ustilaginaceae.